Long non-coding RNA from Cucurbita pepo subsp. pepo (vegetable marrow), 238 nucleotides. RefSeq lists it as uncharacterized. NCBI's taxonomy places the organism in Eukaryota, Viridiplantae, Streptophyta, Magnoliopsida, Cucurbitales, Cucurbitaceae. The record is from RefSeq and is a predicted model, not a curated record.
UUACGCGGGAAAGCUUCGUGUUCUUGAAGUUGCUCUGACGCGAGGAUGAUGAUAUUAGAGUUCGGAAUUAUUGGUGGCUUACGAUGCUGUAAGCUAACACAGAUCCUGUAUGUGUUGCUGUAGUGCUUGUUAUUAUGAGUUCAAAUCUCCUUCCACGGUGAGCUUUGAAAAUGAUCUCGUGCCAGCGGUGUUUUAUGUUGAUACGUGAAUUUUAUUGCUACCUGAACAACAGUUUUCG